UCCCAACGAAGAAACAUUUCACACGUCUUACUUCCUGUCCUAGUCCCAGAGCCUGUAAAGGUGAACCCACUGGGGCUGGCUGGGGGAGAAGAGGAAAAGCUUGUUCCAGAAGGAACUGUCUGAGGGAU
This 128-nucleotide small nucleolar RNA is filed under the name Spermophilus dauricus (Daurian ground squirrel). RNAcentral's name for it is "Small nucleolar RNA SNORD22 (ENSSDAG00000018837.1)". It matches the Rfam family "Small nucleolar RNA SNORD22". Rfam says of the family: U22 is a member of the C/D class of snoRNA which contain the C (UGAUGA) and D (CUGA) box motifs. U22 is encoded within the U22 snoRNA host gene (UHG) in mammals and has also been identified in Xenopus. The record is from Rfam by way of RNAcentral. Lineage: Eukaryota; Metazoa; Chordata; Mammalia; Rodentia; Sciuridae.